This is a long non-coding RNA of Teleopsis dalmanni, 810 nucleotides long. RefSeq lists it as uncharacterized. Lineage: Eukaryota; Metazoa; Arthropoda; Insecta; Diptera; Diopsidae. The transcript is spliced from 5 exons. The record is from RefSeq and is a predicted model, not a curated record.
GUUGUGCCUUGCUGUUAAAUGAAAUUAACAUUUAUAUUCUUUUGAUCCAUACGGUCUGUAUAUACAAAAUCUUGCAAAGUACAAUAUUUAAGACACUCAACAGUGUAUGUGCUUAGAAGUCAUUAUCUGAAUCCGAAAAUAUUUGGGUUCAAACAUCAUCUCCCAUGGUUAUUCUUAUACGUUUAAGUCUUAUAAAUCGAACCAUAACCAUAAGGAUUACAAUUGCAUUGAGUGGUUAAAAAUUCAAAAUAGUGAUAGUAAAAUAAGAUACCAUUAUUUGCUAGCUCUGAUGUAUAACAGAAGGCCUCUGUUUUGAAUCAAAGAACAAUUUUGAAACAAACUUUAUGUGCAGUUAUCCUUGAACUAAAGAAGAAUUAUAAAUAAAUUCUUACUUUCAAUAUCGUAAUAGACGAAUUUUAAUUUUCAUUUGGUUUAUACAGUUGAGCUCUUAUCAUGGAACCGUUGCCAACUGAUGUUGUGAAGGAUUUACAAAAGAAAUGUAUGGACAAUGUAGCAAAUGAAACAGUUGGAACCAACGAGCAGACAUUAGCUCAUGUUAAUUCUAUUGCCAUAAAUAGAAAGAUUGCAACACUGGAAAGUGACUAUCUCCGCACAAAAAAAUUUAAAGUCUUACAAUUAAUAAAGAAACAUGCAAUAAAUCCAGAAAUUGAGCUUUAAUAACAGAUUAAUUUCGUCACUAACCUAACAAAAAAAAAAACACAAUGUUACUAAAUUUGUUAUUAUUGUUGUAGAAGUUAUUAAUUUUGCAGAACUUAAUAGACACUUUAUACAUUACACAUCGGGUCCCUG